ACUCCUACGGGAGGCAGCAGUGGGGAAUAUUGCACAAUGGGCGCAAGCCUGAUGCAGCCAUGCCGCGUGUAUGAAGAAGGCCUUGGGUUGUAAAGUACUUUCAGCAGUGAGGAAGGUGGGGUAUGUUAAUAGCAUAUUCAUUUGACGUUAGCUGCAGAAGAAGCACCGGCUAACUCCGUGCCAGCAGCCGCGGUAAUACGGAGGGUGCGAGCGUUAAUCGGAAUUACUGGGCGUAAAGCGCAUGCAGGUGGUUUGUUAAGUCAGAUGUGAAAGCCCGGGGCUCAACCUCGGAAUUGCAUUUGAAACUGGCAAACUAGAGUACUGUAGAGGGGGUAGAAUUUCAGGUGUAGCGGUGAAAUGCGUAGAGAUCUGAAGGAUACCGGUGGCGAAGGCGGCCCCUGGACAGAUACUGACACUCAGAUGCGAAAGCGUGGGAGCGAAA
This 442-nucleotide ribosomal RNA is filed under the name uncultured bacterium. RNAcentral's name for it is "bacterial SSU rRNA". It matches the Rfam family "Bacterial small subunit ribosomal RNA", at positions 335 to 772 of the family's 1533-position model. The record is from RNAcentral.